This 525-nucleotide long non-coding RNA is filed under the name Phoenix dactylifera (date palm). RNAcentral describes it as "long non-coding RNA (PDAC_LNC002308)". The record is from RNAcentral. Lineage: Eukaryota; Viridiplantae; Streptophyta; Magnoliopsida; Arecales; Arecaceae.
CAGUCCUAUUUUGUUCCAAACCUCAAUUGCUCUCAAGGCCAGUAGAAAAUAUAUCAACAUAAAAUAUCAUUGAAGUCCCUAAAUUUAGAGAAAUAAAGAUCAAGAAAAAAAACGAAUGUUGUUGAGCUUGGCAUGCAUCUUGUAAAUAAUUCUAUUAAAAUUUUCAAGCAUCUAAAUUUUCUACAUUAGGUCACUCAAACAUAUGCCAUUCCGUAUUAACUAUUUUAUAUUGUUCACCCUUUGUUGACACAUGUUUUAAUUUCUUGCAUAGCGACAUAAGAGAAAUAAAUAAAAAGCGAGGGCAAUCCAUCUGCAUUAUAAUUACCCUCCUACAUUAUAAUUUCCAAGUCUAAAUAGUUCAAGAUGCAUCAUUGAAGAUUUAAACACAUCAUUUUUUAUCAUUAAGUAUAGAGGUUUUACUAGGAUGAGCCCCAAGUUAUAAGAAUAAGUACUAUUUAUUAUUAGACUACUAAUCGGGAUGGAAAGUUUAUGAAACAUUUUGUAAGAAAAAUCAUUAAAGAAGCA